This 468-nucleotide ribosomal RNA is filed under the name uncultured bacterium. RNAcentral's name for it is "partial 16S ribosomal RNA". It matches the Rfam family "Bacterial small subunit ribosomal RNA", at positions 28 to 507 of the family's 1533-position model. The record is from RNAcentral.
GACGAACGCUGGCGGCGUGCUUAACACAUGCAAGUCGAACGGAAAGGCCCUGCUUUUGUGGGGUGCUCGAGUGGCGAACGGGUGAGUAACACGUGAGUAACCUGCCCUUGACUUUGGGAUAACUUCAGGAAACUGGGGCUAAUACCGGAUAGGAGCUCCUGCUGCAUGGUGGGGGUUGGAAAGUUUCGGCGGGUGGGGAUGGACGCGCGGCUUAUCAGCUUGUUGGUGGGGGAGUGGCUUACCAAGGCUUUGACGGGUAGCCGGCCUGAGAGGGUGGCCGGCCACAUUGGGACUGAGAUACGGCCCAGACUCCUACGGGAGGCAGCAGUGGGGAAUAUUGCACAAUGGGCGGAAGCCUGAUGCAGCAACGCCGCGUGCGGGAUGACGGCCUUCGGGUUGUAAACCGCUUUCGCCUGUGACGAAGCGUGAGUGACGGUAAUGGGUAAAGAAGCACCGGCUAACUACGUG